Molecule: ribosomal RNA, 498 nt
Filed under: uncultured bacterium
Lineage: Bacteria
Description: partial 16S ribosomal RNA
Rfam family: Bacterial small subunit ribosomal RNA
Source: RNAcentral
ACUCAAAUGAAUUGACGGGGGCCCGCACAAGCGGCGGAGCAUGUGGAUUAAUUCGAUGCAACGCGAAGAACCUUACCUGGGUUUGACAUACACCGGAAACCUGCAGAGAUGUAGGCCCCCUUGUGGUCGGUGUACAGGUGGUGCAUGGCUGUCGUCAGCUCGUGUCGUGAGAUGUUGGGUUAAGUCCCGCAACGAGCGCAACCCUUAUCUUAUGUUGCCAGCGCGUAAUGGCGGGGACUCGUGAGAGACUGCCGGGGUCAACUCGGAGGAAGGUGGGGACGACGUCAAGUCAUCAUGCCCCUUAUGUCCAGGGCUUCACACAUGCUACAAUGGCCGGUACAGAGGGCUGCGAUACCGUGAGGUGGAGCGAAUCCCUUAAAGCCGGUCUCAGUUCGGAUCGGGGUCUGCAACUCGACCCCGUGAAGUUGGAGUCGCUAGUAAUCGCAGAUCAGCAACGCUGCGGUGAAUACGUUCCCGGGCCUUGUACACACCGCCCGU